This 460-nucleotide ribosomal RNA is filed under the name uncultured bacterium. RNAcentral's name for it is "partial 16S ribosomal RNA". It matches the Rfam family "Bacterial small subunit ribosomal RNA", at positions 338 to 795 of the family's 1533-position model. The record is from RNAcentral.
CCUACGGGAGGCAGCAGUGAGGAAUAUUGGUCAAUGGCCGGAAGGCUGAACCAGCCAUGCAGCGUGAAGGAUGACGGCCCUACGGGUUGUAAACUUCGGUUAUAAAGGAAUAAAGUGAGGCACGUGUGCCUUUUUGUAUGUACCUUAUGAAUAAGGAUCGGCUAACUCCGUGCCAGCAGCCGCGGUAAUACGGAGGAUCCGAGCGUUAUCCGGAUUUAUUGGGUUUAAAGGGAGCGUAGGUGGGUUGUUAAGUCAGUUGUGAAAGUUUGCGGCUCAACCGUGAAAUUGCCAUUGAUACUGGCAGCCUUGAGUGCAGUUGAGGUAGGCGGAAUUCGUGGUGUAGCGGUGACAUGCUUAGAUAUCACGAAGAACUCCGAUUGCGAAGGCAGCUUACUAAACUGCCACUGACAUUGAUGCUCGAAAGUGUGGGUAUCAAACAGGAUUAGAUACCCGAGUAGUC